Molecule: ribosomal RNA, 253 nt
Filed under: uncultured bacterium
Lineage: Bacteria
Description: partial 16S ribosomal RNA
Rfam family: Bacterial small subunit ribosomal RNA
Source: RNAcentral
UACGGGGGGGGCAAGCGUUGUUCGGAAUUACUGGGCGUAAAGGGCUCGUAGGUGGCCAACUAAGUCAGACGUGAAAUCCCUCGGCUUAACCGGGGAACUGCGUCUGAUACUGGAUGGCUUGAGUUUGGGAGAGGGACGCGGAAUUCCAGGUGUAGCGGUGAAAUGCGUAGAUAUCUGGAGGAACACCGGUGGCGAAGGCGGCGUCCUGGACCAACACUGACACUGAAAAGCGAAAGCCAGGGGAGCAAACGGG